This 873-nucleotide ribosomal RNA is filed under the name uncultured bacterium. RNAcentral's name for it is "bacterial SSU rRNA". It matches the Rfam family "Bacterial small subunit ribosomal RNA", at positions 64 to 970 of the family's 1533-position model. The record is from RNAcentral.
GAACGAGAAAGUGGAGCAAUCCAUGAGUAAAGUGGCGUACGGGUGAGUAACACGUGGAUGAUCUACCUUCUAGUGGGGAAUACCGUUGGGAAACCGACGACAAUACCGCAUAAGCUCGAGAGAGGAAAGCAGCAAUGCGCUGGAAGAGGAGUCCGCGGUCGAUUAGUUAGUUGGCGGGGUAAAGGCCCACCAAGACUGUGAUCGAUAGCCGGCCUGAGAGGGCACACGGCCACACUGGCACUGAAACACGGGCCAGACUCCUACGGGAGGCAGCAGUGGGGAAUCUUGCACAAUGGGGGAAACCCUGAUGCAGCGACGCCGCGUGAGCGAUGAAGCCCCUCGGGGUGUAAAGCUCUUUCGGCAGGGAAGAUAAUGACGGUACCUGCAAAAGCAGCUGCGGCUAACUACGUGCCAGCAGCCGCGGUAAUACGUAGGCAGCAAGCGUUGUUCGGAGUUACUGGGCGUAAAGGGUGCGUAGGCGGCUUUUUAAGUUUGGUGCGAAAUCUCCCGGCUCAACUGGGAGGGUGCGCCGAAUACUGAGAGGCUAGAGUGUGGGAGAGGAAAGUGGAAUUCCUGGUGUAGCGGUGAAAUGCGUAGAUAUCAGGAGGAACACCGGUGGUGUAAACGGCUUUCUGGACCAUAACUGACGCUGAGGCACGAAAGCGUGGGUAGCAAACAGGAUUAGAUACCCUGGUAGUCCACGCCCUAAACGAUGCAUAUUUGGUGUGGGCCAUUCAUUUGGUCUGUGCCGGAGCUAACGCGUUAAAUAUGCCGCCUGGGGAGUACAGUCGCAAGGCUGAAACUCAAAGGAAUUGACGGGGGCCCGCACAAGCGGUGGAGCAUGUGGUUUAAUUCGACGCAACGCGAAGAACC